GUCACACCAUGAGAGUUGGAGAUACCCGAAGCCUGUGAGCUAACAAACGAGGCAGCAGUCGAAGGUAGAAUCAAUGAUUGGGGUGAAGUCGUAACAAGGUACC
This 103-nucleotide ribosomal RNA is filed under the name uncultured bacterium. RNAcentral's name for it is "partial 16S ribosomal RNA". It matches the Rfam family "Bacterial small subunit ribosomal RNA", at positions 1396 to 1500 of the family's 1533-position model. The record is from RNAcentral.